Molecule: ribosomal RNA, 495 nt
Filed under: uncultured bacterium
Lineage: Bacteria
Description: partial 16S ribosomal RNA
Rfam family: Bacterial small subunit ribosomal RNA
Source: RNAcentral
GACGAACGCUGGCGGCGUGCCUAAUACAUGCAAGUAGAACGCUGAAGGAGGAGCUUGCCUCUCUGGAUGAGUUGCGAACGGGUGAGUAACGCGUAGGUAACCUGCCUGGUAGCGGGGGAUAACUAUUGGAAACGAUAGCUAAUACCGCAUAAUAGUAGAUGUUGCAUGACAUUUACUUAAAAGGUGCAAUUGCAUCACUACCAGAUGGACCUGCGUUGUAUUAGCUAGUUGGUGGGGUAACGGCUCACCAAGGCGACGAUACAUAGCCGACCUGAGAGGGUGAUCGGCCACACUGGGACUGAGACACGGCCCAGACUCCUACGGGAGGCAGCAGUAGGGAAUCUUCGGCAAUGGACGAAAGUCUGACCGAGCAACGCCGCGUGAGUGAAGAAGGUUUUCGGAUCGUAAAGCUCUGUUGUAAGAGAAGAACGAGUGUGAGAGUGGAAAGUUCACACUGUGACGGUAUCUUACCAGAAAGGGACGGCUAACUACGUG